This 503-nucleotide ribosomal RNA is filed under the name Xiphias gladius (swordfish). RNAcentral's name for it is "partial 12S ribosomal RNA". It matches the Rfam family "Bacterial small subunit ribosomal RNA", at positions 786 to 1517 of the family's 1533-position model. Lineage: Eukaryota; Metazoa; Chordata; Actinopteri; Istiophoriformes; Xiphiidae. The record is from RNAcentral.
CCCACUAUGCUUAGCCCUAAACAUCGAUUAUUAAUUACACCCAAUAUCCGCCCGGGAAUUACGAGCAUCAGUUUAAAACCCAAAGGACUUGGCGGUGCUUAACAUCCACCUAGAGGAGCCUGUUCUAGAACCGAUAACCCCCGUUCAACCUCACCCUCCCUUGCUUUUCCCGCCUAUAUACCACCGUCGUCAGCUUACCCUGUGAAGGCCUAAUAGUAAGCAGAAUUGGCAUAGCCCAAAACGUCAGGUCGAGGUGUAGUGCAUGAGAGGGGAAGAAAUGGGCUACAUUCGCUAGUAGUAGCGAAUACGAAUGUUGCAUUGAAAUAUGCGACUGAAGGAGGAUUUAGCAGUAAGCAGAAAGCAGAGCGUCCCGCUGAAACUGGCCCUAAAGCGCGCACACACCGCCCGUCACCCUCCCCGAGCCCUAAACUCACUUAACUAAAACCCUAUAAUUGCGAAGGGGAGGAAAGUCGUAACAUGGUAAGUGUACUGGAARGGUGCAA